This is a long non-coding RNA of Falco peregrinus (peregrine falcon), 725 nucleotides long. RefSeq lists it as uncharacterized. NCBI's taxonomy places the organism in Eukaryota, Metazoa, Chordata, Aves, Falconiformes, Falconidae. The record is from RefSeq and is a predicted model, not a curated record. The transcript is spliced from 3 exons.
UGAGUUUCUCAGGAUUGAUAUCAAUGGCGAUCACUGCAAAUGAAAGAGAGCAAAUGCACGGGUUAACGUGAGCGGUGAAUGCCACCCGACCACCAAACGGCCAUUUCAGAAGGAAGGUGCUCUUCUGCAGCCACCAGGUGAUCUCACUCAAGUGUUUUAAGUGCUAUUCGCACACAACCUACUUUUGAGUACACAGACCUGGCAUUAAUCUCAUACACAGACUUGGGAAAAGCAGCAGCUUUGUGGUGUCUCUGCAUGUCAGUGCUGCAAACAUAACUCAACCUUUAUCAGGGCAUCUCACAGUGCCAAAUAGAAAAGUUCAUCGUACAGAUAUUUUUUUUCUCCCAGAAAAUAAUUUUAACAACACAUGCUCCCCAAAGCUCAGCAAUGUGCACUGAGAACCCAAAGCCUGGCGGUCUAUGCACCUACCCGAAGUUAAUCACCCUCAUCCUCACAGGGGAAAAAAAGAUGUGAACUGGAGACCUGUUAGAUCACGUCUAGGAUCAACAAUGACUGUUUAUAAAUAAAUACCGCCAAUAUUAAAGACAAGACCUAGGAUUUUGGUGCUCCAGGAAUAAGCUACUUCCACUAGCACAGCUCUCAACUGGCCUCAUUACCCCUUGGACCUAACAAGUCUCUUUGACUAAACAUAAUAAAUACCACACAGUGCUGUAAUUUGGGAAAUCAGUGUUAAGCCCACUGUCAAUUCAUUUCCAGUUUGUAGG